RNAcentral lists this ribosomal RNA (462 nucleotides) under uncultured Desulfotomaculum sp. Its description in RNAcentral is "bacterial SSU rRNA". It matches the Rfam family "Bacterial small subunit ribosomal RNA", at positions 925 to 1382 of the family's 1533-position model. The record is from RNAcentral. Lineage: Bacteria; Bacillati; Bacillota; Clostridia; Eubacteriales; Desulfotomaculaceae.
ACAAGCGGUGGAGCAUGUGGUUUAAUUCGACGCAACGCGAAGAACCUUACCAGGAAUUGACAUCCCCUGACAACUUAUGAAAGUAGGUCUUCUACCUUCGGGUAGACAGGGAGACAGGUGGUGCAUGGUUGUCGUCAGCUCGUGUCGUGAGAUGUUGGGUUAAGUCCCGCAACGAGCGCAACCCUUACGGUUAGUUGCCAGCGGUUAAAGCCGGGCACUCUAGCUGAACUGCCGUUGACAAAACGGAGGAAGGUGGGGAUGACGUCAAAUCAUCAUGCCCUUUAUAUCCUGGGCUACACACGUGCUACAAUGGCCUGUACAGAGGGCAGCGAAGGGGCAACCUGGAGCGAAUCCCAAAAAGCAGGUCUCAGUUCGGAUUGCAGGCUGCAACUCGCCUGCAUGAAGUCGGAAUCGCUAGUAAUCGCAGGUCAGCAUACUGCGGUGAAUACGUUCCCGGGCCUU